AUGCAGCUGACGAGCCUCAAAUAGAGCGAAACGCAUGUCCUGGAU
Molecule: non-coding RNA, 45 nt
Filed under: Schistosoma margrebowiei
Lineage: Eukaryota; Metazoa; Platyhelminthes; Trematoda; Strigeidida; Schistosomatidae
Source: RNAcentral